GCCGGAGUGGCGGAAUGGUAGACGCAGCGGACUCAAAAUCCGCCGGGCCACGGGUCUGUGGGAGUUCGAGUCUCCCCUCCGGCACCA
This 87-nucleotide transfer RNA is filed under the name Aminobacterium colombiense. RNAcentral's name for it is "tRNA-Leu". It matches the Rfam family "tRNA". From Rfam's summary of the family: Transfer RNA (tRNA) molecules are approximately 80 nucleotides in length. Their secondary structure includes four short double-helical elements and three loops (D, anti-codon, and T loops). Lineage: Bacteria; Thermotogati; Synergistota; Synergistia; Synergistales; Aminobacteriaceae. The record is from RNAcentral.